CUUGUACCUGGUGGCGAGCGGCGGACGGGUGAGUAAUGCCUAGGAAUCUGCCUGGUAGUGGGGGAUAACGCUCGGAAACGGACGCUAAUACCGCAUACGUCCUACGGGAGAAAGCAGGGGACCUUCGGGCCUUGCGCUAUCAAAUGAGCCUAGGUCGGAUUAGCUAGUUGGUGAGGUAAUGGCUCACCAAGGCGACGAUCCGUAACUGGUCUGAGAGGAUGAUCAGUCACACUGGAACUGAGACACGGUCCAGACUCCUACGGGAGGCAGCAGUGGGGAAUAUUGGACAAUGGGCGAAAGCCUGAUCCAGCCAUGCCGCGUGUGUGAAGAAGGUCUUCGGAUUGUAAAGCACUUUAAGUUGGGAGGAAGGGCAGUUACCUAAUACGUGAUUGUUUUGACGUUACCGACAGAAUAAGCACCGGCUAACUCUGUGGGAGCAGGCGCGGUAAUACAGAGGGUGCAAGCGUUAAUCGGAAUUACUGGGCGUAAAGCGCGCGUAGGGUGGGUGU
RNAcentral lists this ribosomal RNA (509 nucleotides) under Pseudomonas sp. Its description in RNAcentral is "bacterial SSU rRNA". It matches the Rfam family "Bacterial small subunit ribosomal RNA", at positions 78 to 583 of the family's 1533-position model. Lineage: Bacteria; Pseudomonadati; Pseudomonadota; Gammaproteobacteria; Pseudomonadales; Pseudomonadaceae. The record is from RNAcentral.